Molecule: ribosomal RNA, 439 nt
Filed under: uncultured bacterium
Lineage: Bacteria
Description: partial 16S ribosomal RNA
Rfam family: Bacterial small subunit ribosomal RNA
Source: RNAcentral
CUACGGGUCGCAGCAGUGAGGAAUAUUGCACAAUGGGGGGAACCCUGAUGCGGCAACGCCGCGUGGAGGAUGACGCAUUUCGGUGUGUAAACUCCUUUUAUAUGUCAAGAAAAUGACGGUAGCAUAUGAAUAAGCACCGGCUAACUCCGUGCCAGCAGCCGCGGUAAUACGGAGGGUGCAAGCGUUACUCGGAAUCACUGGGCGUAAAGGACGCGUAGGCGGGUUGGAAAGUCAGGUGUGAAAUCCUACAGCUUAACUGUAGAACUGCACUUGAAACUUCUAAUCUAGAGUAUGGGAGGGGGAGAUGGAAUUAGUGGUGUAGGGGUAAAAUCCGUAGAUAUCACUAGGAAUACCUAAAGCGAAGGCGAUCUCCUGGAACAUUACUGACGCUAAAGCGUGAAAGCGUGGGGAGCAAACAGGAUUAGAUACCCCUGUAGUC